AGUGGCCUACGGGAGGCAGCAGUAGGGAAUUUUCGGCAAUGGGGGGAACCCUGACCGAGCAACGCCGCGUGAAGGAAGAAGGAAUUCGUUCUGUAAACUUCUGUUAUAAAGGAAGAAAGGCGGAUGAAGGAGAUGACAUCCGAGUGACGGUACUUUAUGAGAAAGCCACGGCUAACUACGUGCCAGCAGCCGCGGUAAUACGUAGGUGGCAAGCGUUAUCCGGAAUUAUUGGGCGUAAAGAGGGAGCAGGCGGCAGCAAGGGUCUGUGGUGAAAGACUGGAGCUUAACUUCAGUAAG
This 297-nucleotide ribosomal RNA is filed under the name uncultured bacterium. Its description in RNAcentral is "partial 16S ribosomal RNA". It matches the Rfam family "Bacterial small subunit ribosomal RNA", at positions 333 to 622 of the family's 1533-position model. The record is from RNAcentral.